AGCGAACGCUGGCGGCAGGCCUAACACAUGCAAGUCGACCGAAUCUUUCGGGGUUAGUGGCGGACGGGUGAGUAACACGUGGGAACGUGCCUCUAGGACCGGAAUAACCCAGGGAAACCUGUGCUAAUACUCAAUGUGCCCUUCGGGGGAAAGACUUAUCGCCUUUCGAGCGGCCCGCGUCUGAUUAGCUCGAUGGUUGAGGUAAUGGCUCACCACGGCGACGCUCAGUAGCUAGUCUGAGAGGAUGGUUAGACACAUUGGGACUGAGACACGGCCCAAACUCGACCGCAACACUGAGGUGGAGAGUCUUGCGGAAUGGGCGAAAGCAUGACGCACCCAUGCCGCGAGUAUCAUGAGGGUCUUACGAUUGUACAAUUCUUUCACCGAAGACCAUAAUGGCGGUACCCGGAGGAGAAGCCCCGGCUAACUCCGUG
Molecule: ribosomal RNA, 434 nt
Filed under: uncultured bacterium
Lineage: Bacteria
Description: partial 16S ribosomal RNA
Rfam family: Bacterial small subunit ribosomal RNA
Source: RNAcentral